This 497-nucleotide ribosomal RNA is filed under the name uncultured bacterium. RNAcentral's name for it is "partial 16S ribosomal RNA". It matches the Rfam family "Bacterial small subunit ribosomal RNA", at positions 28 to 507 of the family's 1533-position model. The record is from RNAcentral.
GAUGAACGCUGGCGGCGUGCCUAAUACAUGCAAGUCGAGCGAACGGACGAGAAGCUUGCUUCUCUGAUGUUAGCGGCGGACGGGUGAGUAACACGUGGAUAACCUACCUAUAAGACUGGGAUAACUUCGGGAAACCGGAGCUAGUACCGGAUAAUAUUUUGAACCGCAUGGUUCAAAAGUGAAAGACGGUCUUGCUGUCACUUAUAGAUGGAUCCGCGCUGCAUUAGCUAGUUGGUAAGGUAACGGCUUACCAAGGCAACGAUGCAUAGCCGACCUGAGAGGGUGAUCGGCCACACUGGAACUGAGACACGGUCCAGACUCCUACGGGAGGCAGCAGUAGGGAAUCUUCCGCAAUGGGCGAAAGCCUGACGGAGCAACGCCGCGUGAGUGAUGAAGGCCUUCGGAUCGUAAAACUCUGUUAUUAGGGAAGAACAUAUGUGUAAGUAACUGUGCACAUCUUGACGGUACCUAAUCAGAAAGCCACGGCUAACUACGUG